CGGCCUCUACUCGUGGGAGCCGCAGCCCAACCUGGUCCCCAUCGUGGCGGGGGUGGCCGUCACCGUUGUGGCCAGCGCCAUCAUGGGUGGUGUUGGAUUUGCUGUCUGGAAACGCCGUGCAGGGAAGAAUGAGAAGGGCUACAUCAUUGCGCCUGACCGGGAUGGCGGAUCCAGCAGCUCGUCCACAG
This is a long non-coding RNA of Numida meleagris (helmeted guineafowl), 188 nucleotides long. RefSeq lists it as uncharacterized. The transcript is spliced from 4 exons. NCBI's taxonomy places the organism in Eukaryota, Metazoa, Chordata, Aves, Galliformes, Numididae. The record is from RefSeq and is a predicted model, not a curated record.